RNAcentral lists this ribosomal RNA (653 nucleotides) under uncultured bacterium. Its description in RNAcentral is "bacterial SSU rRNA". It matches the Rfam family "Bacterial small subunit ribosomal RNA", at positions 202 to 842 of the family's 1533-position model. The record is from RNAcentral.
AAAAGGUGGCUAUGCUACCGCUUUUGGAUGGGCCCGCGGCGCAUUAGCUAGUUGGUGGGGUAAAGGCUUACCAAGGCAAUGAUGCGUAGCCGAACUGAGAGGUUGAUCGGCCACAUUGGGACUGAGACACGGCCCAAACUCCUACGGGAGGCAGCAGUAGGGAAUCUUCCACAAUGGGCGAAAGCCUGAUGGAGCAACGCCGCGUGGGUGAAGAAGGUCUUCGGAUCGUAAAACCCUGUUGUUAGAGAAGAAAGUGCGUGAGAGUAACUGUUCACGUUUCGACGGUAUCUAACCAGAAAGCCACGGCUAACUACGUGCCAGCAGCCGCGGUAAUACGUAGGUGGCAAGCGUUAUCCGGAUUUAUUGGGCGUAAAGGGAACGCAGGCGGUCUUUUAAGUCUGAUGUGAAAGCCUUCGGCUUAACCGGAGUAGUGCAUUGGAAACUGGGAGACUUGAGUGCAGAAGAGGAGAGUGGAACUCCAUGUGUAGCGGUGAAACGCGUAGAUAUAUGGAAGAACACCAGUGGCGAAAGCGGCUCUCUGGUCUGUAACUGACGCUGAGGUUCGAAAGCGUGGGUAGCAAACAGGAUUAGAUACCCUGGUAGUCCACGCCGUAAACGAUGAAUGCUAAGUGUUGGAGGGUUUCCGCCCUUCA